GGGCCCGCACAAGCGGUGGAGUAUGUGGUUUAAUUCGAUGAUACGCGAGGAACCUUACCUGGGCUCGAAUGGAUUUGGACAAUUCCUGAAAGGGAAUCUCUCUUCGGAGCCGAAUUCAAGGUGCUGCAUGGUUGUCGUCAGCUCGUGCCGUGAGGUGUUGGGUUAAGUCCCGCAACGAGCGCAACCCCUAUUCUUAGUUACCAGCACGUAAUGGUGGGGACUCUAGGAAGACUGCCGGCGUAAGCCGCGAGGAAGGUGGGGAUGACGUCAAAUCAUCAUGGCCUUUAUGCCCAGGGCUACACACGUGCUACAAUGGAGGGUACAGAGGGUCGCGAAGCCGCGAGGUGGAGCCAAUCUCACAAAGCCCUUCCCAGUUCGGAUUGGAGUCUGCAACUCGACUCCAUGAAGUUGGAAUCGCUAGUAAUCGCGCAU
This 432-nucleotide ribosomal RNA is filed under the name uncultured bacterium. Its description in RNAcentral is "bacterial SSU rRNA". It matches the Rfam family "Bacterial small subunit ribosomal RNA", at positions 917 to 1349 of the family's 1533-position model. The record is from RNAcentral.